ACUCAGAUUUUUAAUCCCCAUUUCAUUUUGGUCUUCGUGUCUCUCUUGGUCACUCUUACUGUCUUCUCUUCUACUAUUCCGUCUCCUUAUGAAACCCAAAAUUUAAAAGAAGGAUUUUGCUUUCGAGGCAAAUUUAGUACACCCAUCUGUGGAGUUGUUCAUUUCAUUGAAAUUUUGAGUCGAGAAAUCUUGCAUGUCACUUGAAACUUGGUGCUUGAUAUCUCAGUUGUGGCGAUGUUACUGUUCGCGAUAAGGGCAGGAGAUGUGUUUGGAAGGAGAGGAAAUCGACAGCUUAAACAACUCUGAAGACUUCGUGGAUUAUUAGAACGAUCAUCUGUUGCACUCAUUGUUCUUUUGAUCUGUUGUAUCUCUCUUUUCACUACUUCCAAGAGUACUACCAAUCGCCCUGGGAUUCACUCCGGUGAAGAGUCGACCAAAGAUGAGAAAAAUGCUAUUGAAAAAUCGCCACAAUAAUAGGGAUUUUCCGGUGUAGAAUGAUUGCUCUCACAGGUUUGGUUCAGUUAAUAUGUUAACUUAACUUUCUUAUUUAUCAUCUGGACAGUUGUUAAUGCUGACUAAGUUGAACACAUCAGAUGAAACAAUGGUUUUGAUAAAGAUUAGGAAAUGAGCAUAAAUUGGAGACAUGGCGUAGAACUCAGGAAUUGAUUUAGAUAUCUUUGAAAAGAAUUCUUCUUCAGUGGAACAUUAAUUGAUUUUUUCCAUGACCAUUGUCUUUUAUAUUGAUAUUAGCUGAUUCAGGAGUUUGGGUUUUGCUAUUUUAUUAUCCUAUCGAGUAUAUAUUUCCAUGACAAUAAUAGAGCCUUGCAAGCAGAUUAAAUUUAUUAAUAUGUGCGCAUGUCUGAGUUGCAUAACAAAUGUGGCGUAGAGAACUUCGUUGUUGGAACAUAUGUGUACUUUUCUCAGUAACACUCAAGGUUGGGGUUCCUUCAUUGAUCCACCGAAUUGCAAUCCAUGUGCUUGCUUAGAACCAUUUUUAUUUUAGAUGUUAAAUUAAUGUCUCUUGCGUUUCAGAUUCGGCUCUUCUUAGAUUUGAUUAAGCUACUGUUGAUAAAAAAUUUCUCAUUAUGUGGUAACAAUCGACAGGUAAAAUCAUUGAUAACCUCCCAUGGUAAUUUGAAUUUAAUUACACCACUUUUAAAUUCUUUAUGGCUAUGAUUGAGGAAAACUACUAAUGUUAGCUUCGGGGUAAAGCGCAGCUUAUGCUGUAAAUGUCUUCUCAUUGUUGAUACUAAUGUUUUUUUUCUUUUUCUUAAUGUAUUAACUGUUUGUGUAUUAGAUGCUUUGGAUUAAUGGCAGGGGCAUCAAGAAUGCCAAUUAUGUGCUUCCAGUUUAGUUUUUUGGUUGUCGAUUAACUGUAAGAAACUAGCAAAAACAAAAAACAUAGUUGCACGACUUAUUUCAGCAGAAGUAAUAUAGUUUUUUCAGUUAUAUUAUGACUGGAUUUCUAUAAGAUUGCUGCUUUUUUUGACCAGACUUCGAUGUAUUUCUGCAGGAUUUAUUGGUGGAGACCGCGACAGAGCAGGAUGGCUCAGUCAGUAAUAUCACUGUGCAUCCCACAGUUUUUCAGGCAUUGACACUAGCAGUACGUAAAGCGAGUCAAUCUAUAUGCAGUUAAGAAGAGAACGAUAAUAGAAGAUCCUUGCUUUGCCCCCAGAAGCAUGGCAAUACAGUCGAAGAAAAAUUAUAAUCAUCACAAUGUAUGUGAUGUAACACGUUUUCUAAUUUAUUUAUUAUUGAUUCUUACAGAUUUGUACUUUACCUGGAAGCAGCAAAUAUGUACUCGAAUUUGUAAGCAUUCAGAUAUAUAAUCGGAUUUGUAAGCAGUACGACAGAUAUGUACUCAGAUUUCUAAGCAGUGCGACAGAUAUGUACUCAAAUUUGUAAGCAGUGUAACAAAUAUGUACUCGAAUUUUU
Long non-coding RNA from Papaver somniferum (opium poppy), 1935 nucleotides. RefSeq lists it as uncharacterized. The transcript is spliced from 5 exons. The record is from RefSeq and is a predicted model, not a curated record. Lineage: Eukaryota; Viridiplantae; Streptophyta; Magnoliopsida; Ranunculales; Papaveraceae.